RNAcentral lists this ribosomal RNA (497 nucleotides) under uncultured bacterium. RNAcentral's name for it is "partial 16S ribosomal RNA". It matches the Rfam family "Bacterial small subunit ribosomal RNA", at positions 28 to 507 of the family's 1533-position model. The record is from RNAcentral.
GACGAACGCUGGCGGCGUGCCUAAUACAUGCAAGUUGAGCGCUGAAGGUUGGUACUUGUACCAACUGGAUGAGCAGCGAACGGGUGAGUAACGCGUGGGGAAUCUGCCUUUGAGCGGGGGACAACAUUUGGAAACGAAUGCUAAUACCGCAUAAAAACUUUAAACACAAGUUUUAAGUUUGAAAGAUGCAAUUGCAUCACUCAAAGAUGAUCCCGCGUUGUAUUAGCUAGUUGGUGAGGUAAAGGCUCACCAAGGCGAUGAUACAUAGCCGACCUGAGAGGGUGAUCGGCCACAUUGUGACUGAGACACGGCCCAAACUCCUACGGGAGGCAGCAGUAGGGAAUCUUCGGCAAUGGACGAAAGUCUGACCGAGCAACGCCGCGUGAGUGAAGAAGGUUGUCGGAUCGUAAAACUCUGUUGGUAGAGAAGAACGUUGGUGAGAGUGGAAAGCUCAUCAAGUGACGGUAACUACCCAGAAAGGGACGGCUAACUACGUG